Long non-coding RNA from Oncorhynchus keta (chum salmon), 4171 nucleotides. RefSeq lists it as uncharacterized. The transcript is spliced from 5 exons. NCBI's taxonomy places the organism in Eukaryota, Metazoa, Chordata, Actinopteri, Salmoniformes, Salmonidae. The record is from RefSeq and is a predicted model, not a curated record.
GAGCGGUAGUCUGUGUGUGUACUGAACAGAAAAUGCUGAUGGGGCUUCAAAUAAUCUCUCAGCAAGGAUGUUUGUCUAAAGGGGAGGAUGGGAAGGAUCGGGAGUCAGGGUACAACACAUAUUGUGUGUGUGCGUGUGCAUGCUGCUUGCUUCUUGUUUGAGGCCUGAUUCCAUUUUGUCCUGAACCGCCGACCUAUACCCCGGACAUGGACACACACACACAGACAGACAGACAGACAGACAGACAGACAGACAGACAGACAGACAGACAGACAGACAGACAGACAGACAGACAGACAGACAGACAGACAGACAGACAGAGGCUGUUGAGGAGGGCUGAAUGUCGUGUUCCUGUUUGCCUCUGCCCACUCUCCAAUAUAAAUAGAGGGACAGAGACAAAUAAAUGUAUACUGUAGAGACAGAUACAAAUAAAGGUAUACUGUAGAGACAGAGACAAAUAAAGGUAUACUGUAGAGAAAGAGACAGAGACAAAUAAAGGUAUACUGUAGAGACAGAGACAAAUAAAGGUAUACUGUAGAGACAGAGACAAAUAAAGGUAUACUGUAGAGACAGAUACAAAUAAAGGUAUACUGUAGAGACAGAGACAAAUAAAGGUAUACUGUAGAGAAAGAGACAGAGACAAAUAAAGGUAUACUGUAGAGACAGAGACAAAUAAAGGUAUACUGUAGAGACAGAUACAAAUAAAGGUAUACUGUAGAGACAGAGACAAAUAAAGGUAUACUGUAGAGACAGAGACAAAUAAAGGUAUACUGUAGAGACAGAGAAAUAGACAAAAAAAUAUAUAUUGUAGAGACAGAGAAAGAGACAAAUAAAGGUAUACUGUAGAGACAGAGAAAGAGACAAAUAAAGGUAUACUGUAGAGACAGACAAAUAAAGGUAUACUGUAGAGACAGAGACAAAUAAAGGUAUACUGUAGAGACAGAGACAGAGACAAAUAAAGGUAUACGGUAGAGACAGAGACAGAGACAAAUAAAGGUAUACUGUAGAGACAGAGAAAGAGACAAAUAAAGGUAUACUGUAGAGACAGAGACAAAUAAAGGUAUACUGUAGAGACAGAGAUAAAUAAAGGUAUACUGUAGAGACAGAGACAAAUAAAGGUAUACUGUAGAGACAGAGACAGAGACAAAUAAAGGUAUACUGUAGAGACAGAGACAGAGACAAAUAAAGUAUACUGUAGAGACAGAGACAGAGACAAAUAAAGUAUACUGUAGAGACAGAGACAGAGACAAAUAAAGUAUACUGUAGAGACAGAGACAGAGACAAAUAAAGGUAUACUGUAGAGACAGAGACAGAGACAAAUAAAGGUAUACUGUAGAGACAGAGACAGAGACAAAUAAAGGUAUACUGUAGAGACAGAGACAGAGACAAAUAAAGGUAUACUGUAGAGACAGAGACAGAGACAAAUAAAGGUAUACUGUAGAGACAGAGACAGAGACAAAUAAAGGUAUACUGUAGAGACAGAGACAGAGACAAAUAAAGGUAUACUGUAGAGACAGAGACAGAGACAGAGACAAAUAAAGGUAUACUGUAGAGAAAGGGACAGAGACAGAGAGACAGAGAAAGUUGUUGGUCCUUGCAGCUGAUGGAGUGAUCGGUACAGAGGAUGCGUCAAACCUGUUGAGGUGUGCACGCUUGUGUGUCUACGUGCGUGUGUGUGUGUGUGUGUGGAGGCAGCUGCGCGUGUCUGUUCUCUGUGUUGACAGAGAAGAGGAAGAAGAGACAUGUGCAGGAGAGGAUGGAGGAGGCCAGAUUCAAAUGUGAAGGAGGGAUGGAAAGAGGAGGCUGGGGAGGGAGUGAUGGAGGAAUCGUGUAUUUUUCUCCUUCACUUAGCAGAGAAACAGUUUGUUCCCAGGGUCUUUCCGUCUGACAGGUGUGAGUGUGCGUGUGUGCACGCUGUGUCAGCACUAUCUGCCGUCCAGUUAAAAAUGGUCCCAUUGACUUUCUUUCUUUCUGCUUCCUCUCUGUUCUACAUUGAAUGCAUACAUUUUGUUUAAUUACACAGAGAAACACUCACACACCACCCAAUUCAGAAACACAAUUAGGCUAAUAUGCCGAGUCAGCCUUCUCCAAAGUACACACAUCGCUGGGCUACACGCCGGUGAGAAUGAAUGGGCUGGGCAUUUUCUCUCCUACUUACCAUGUUGAUUCUGAACAGCUUGUGUAUUGACCGUUAGUGUGUGUGUGUGUGUGUGUGUGUGUGUGUGUGUGUGGGGGGGGAUUAUUGAUUUAAAGGGAAGAUUGCAGAAUUAGGUUGCUGUUAAACAUUCUGAUUUGUUUCAUCCUUCCAACUAAACGUCCCAAUACGACAUUCAUGAAGGCAUGUCGGGACACGCUUUCCGGAUGUGACGUAAGGAGGAGCAGUAGACGCGCAGAAGAGUUUUAUUUAUUCUGUAUCAGCCCCCUCCAUUUUUUAAAAACACUUCUACAGCUCGCAGGCUUUUAGAAUAGGGCCUCUUAUACCCCUGGCUUUCCCCUACUGGCUGCCCACGAGCAGCCUGGAAACACCUGACUUAUUAGCAGUUCAGCACAUCAGCAUUUCUCCUACUGUUACACCAAAUUAAGAUACACCUUUCCCAUCAUAGUAGACAUUGAAUGUCUAUAACCAAACUGUUACACCAAACUGGCCCCUAAACCCCCCAAAUAAAAAUGUGAAUUAAUAGUUUGGGUUGGGAGGGUUGAAAAUAUCUUUAAACUGAAAACUUGUCUCUCAGCCUUAUGGCAAAAUGUGUAGAAUAGCAGGAAAUGAGUUUCAAAAUGGCAAAGUUAUCUCUCUGCCCCAUGGCAAAAAGUAUAGAAUUACAGGAAAUGAGCUUUCAAACUUCAUUCUUUUCUCUCAGCCCCAUUACAAAAUGUGUAGAAUAGUAUUAUAAAACUGCAGAUGUUUCUCUCUGCACUUUGGAAAAAUGUGUUGAAAUGCAGUAAGUUAGCUGAGGGUGGGGGACCACCAGAGGUCGUUGCCUGGGGCCCCAAAUGUGGUCGUCCGGCCCUGUAGCUAGCCACAUGCUAACCUGAUUUCUACUACUAGCAGCAGUAAAUCCAGGUAACUAUCAUGGCUAACACAAACAUUGGCUACCAUAAAAUCCUGCAAUGUAUUAUUGGUAUAUACGUUUUUGAUAAAUGUAAUUCAAACGGAGAAAAUCAAAGUAUGUAAUUAUACAUUUUUUUUAAAUAAACUUUUGCAUAAAUACCUUUUUAGAUGGAAUAUCAUCCCUCUACAUUGUUAAAGUUGUGGAAAUAUAUUGUGCUAUACUAUGGUAUGUAGAAGAAGGGUGUGGUAAUGAGAGAGAGAGAGAGAGCGAGAUGAAAAACAGCCCAUGGCGCAAGGUAGGAGAGGUUAAAGUUCAGGUUUGCGAUCAUUGGUGCCAGAUGUUCUAUCUAUGCUCAUUGGAUGCUAUCUAUCCUCAUUGGAUAACAGAUGUUCAAACCGCUCUGAUUGGUGAAUGCAAACACACAGGCCACUGCCCCUUAAACGCACACUCAUUACUGAGGCAUGCUGAGAUUGUGCAAUGGCUCCUUUGCCUCACAGUCAGGUGUUCCUGCUUUGAUGUGUGCACUGUGUAACUGCUAUGUGUUUUGCAUGGCGUCAGCUCAAGCAUUCGUCAACAGGAGACAGUCCUGUAUGCAGGGUAACUACUGUCUGUGUCUGAAGAAGAGAAACAGGUUAGCUGUUUUUGUUCCCCAGCCAUAAGCCACCUUGAAGAUAUUUUAUGCUAACUUUAUUGCUCAAUUGUACACAAGGUCCAACCAAAAGUUGACUUCUGUUUUUAAUCCAACCGCUCCAAAAGAAACAUACAUUUUUUGGGGGUGGAGAGGUGCUAGGUGCUGCCACGCUGGGCCCCCGGGGAACUGUUGUUGUGGGGUUUAAUUGCCUUGCUCAAGGGCAUUGUCACACCCUGACCAUAGUUUGCUUUGUAUGUUUCUAUGUUUUGUUUGGUCAGGGUGUGAUCUGAGUGGGCAUUCUAUGUUGUGUGUCUAGUUUGUCUGUUUCUAUGUUUGGCCUGAUAUGGUUCUCAAUCAGAGGCAGGUGUUAGUCAUUGUCUCUGAUUGGGAACCAUAUUUAGGUAGCCUGUUUGGUGUUGGGUUUUGUGGGUGAUUGUUCCUGUUUCUGUGUUUGUUUGCACCAGAUAGGCAGUUUAGGUUUUUUCACGUU